Molecule: ribosomal RNA, 600 nt
Filed under: Kineococcus sp.
Lineage: Bacteria; Bacillati; Actinomycetota; Actinomycetes; Kineosporiales; Kineosporiaceae
Description: bacterial SSU rRNA
Rfam family: Bacterial small subunit ribosomal RNA
Source: RNAcentral
CGGUGAACCCUCCUCGGAGGGGGAUCAGUGGCGAACGGGUGAGUAACACGUGAGCAACCUGCCCCUGGCUCUGGGACAACCACUGGAAACGGUGGCUAAUACCGGAUACGACCCACCUCGGCAUCGGGUGUGGGUGGAAAGUUUUUCGGCUGGGGAUGGGCUCGCGGCCUAUCAGCUUGUUGGUGGGGUGAUGGCCCACCAAGGCGACGACGGGUAGCCGGCCUGAGAGGGCGACCGGCCACACUGGGACUGAGACACGGCCCAGACUCCUACGGGAGGCAGCAGUGGGGAAUAUUGCACAAUGGGCGAAAGCCUGAUGCAGCGACGCCGCGUGAGGGAUGACGGCCUUCGGGUUGUAAACCUCUUUCAGCUCCGAAGAAGCGCAAGUGACGGUAGGAGCAGAAGAAGCACCGGCUAACUACGUGCCAGCAGCCGCGGUAAUACGUAGGGUGCAAGCGUUGUCCGGAAUUAUUGGGCGUAAAGAGCUCGUAGGCGGUGUGUCGCGUCUGCUGUGAAAACUCAGGGCUCAACUCUGAGCUUGCAGUGGGUACGGGCACACUUGAGUGCUGUAGGGGAGACUGGAAUUCCUGGUGUAGCGGU